Unclassified non-coding RNA from Actinia tenebrosa (Australian red waratah sea anemone), 940 nucleotides. The record is from RefSeq and is a predicted model, not a curated record. Lineage: Eukaryota; Metazoa; Cnidaria; Anthozoa; Actiniaria; Actiniidae.
GCGAAAUGAUGAAACAAGAUGGCCUCCAUAGGAUUUCAAAUCCUUUCCAUCUGCUUGCUUUUAAACUUCUUCGAAAUCGUUCAGCAAGACAAAGUAUACUUAAUCAAGGGUCCAAAACAUAUCAACGGUUCUAUUGGAGAAGAUGCCUUGUUUAUGUGGAAUACGACGGAUCGAAAAGAAAUUCUUGCUGUCAGCUGGGGAAUAAGAAAGGGCAACAUCCCUGAUCCUCAGUUUAUCAGUGUUGAUGGCUACCAUAGAAGGGUGACCAAAAACAAAGAUAUUGGCGAAACGUUGAAAAGAAGAGUAGAAUUUCUUGGAAACUUGACAAUGGGUCGUGCUUGGUUUGUGUUGAAGAACCUUACUGUCAAUGACACUAAUGAAUACAUUGCAAGCAUCAGUGACGAUGAAUCUAGUGAUAUACCAUAUUGUGUGCGCCUAAACGUUACGGAGAAGAGAAAAGAAAAACCAACAGAAGGGCCUUCUCCAACCCCAGACACUACAGCUGCUGCUCCGAACAAUACAAAUAAAUAGUGAAAAAUAGUGAUUUUGCAUCAGUUCCUUAAUUUUGUUAGUAUUGCAUAAAUAAUUUAACAAUAGCUUGUUAAACCUCUUUUGGCAGGCGGGAGUCUGUUGCGGCUAUACGGUGGAAAGGAGAGAGAGAGAGAGAGAGAGAGCUAAUUAUCACCAAAGUACCUCGCAUGUCAAUGAUAUCACUCGCCUGUGUAUAAGGAAUCCAUAGUCUGAAUGAAAGCAUAUUAUUAUUGUGUACCUUAUUUUAUUUCUUUUAUUAUUGCUAUAGGAGCACCGACAAAUAAAACAAAUACAUUUUCGAACAUUACAACACCACCCGAACCAAACUCGUCGAACAUACAAAGGCACAUUAAUGGUUACACAAUAUUAACGGAUAUUGCACUGGUGUUGUGGCACUUUUCAAUUUAGG